This is a long non-coding RNA of Oncorhynchus tshawytscha (Chinook salmon), 1934 nucleotides long. The record is from Ensembl. NCBI's taxonomy places the organism in Eukaryota, Metazoa, Chordata, Actinopteri, Salmoniformes, Salmonidae.
GACAUGAAGAGACACUAGAGGAUCGCUAAGGAUGAGCAGGACAUGAAGAGACACUAGAGGAUCGCUAAGGAUGAGCAGGACAGGAAGAGACACUAGAGGAUCGCUAAGGAUGAGCAGGACAUGAAGAGACACUGGAGGAUUGCUAAGGAUGAGCAGGACAUGAAGAGACACUAGAGGAUCGCUAAGGAUGAGCAGGACAUGAAGAGGAAGAGGGCUGAUUUCUCAGCAGGCAGGUCACUGGGGGUGAGUUGCUACUAGGUUUAUUGUUAUUUGAGACAGGAGCAAUAAUAAGUCUGGUACAGAAGCCUUGAGUAUAUCUAGCAGACUUUAUUCGUUUGUGGGUCUCCUUUUUGAGCUCGUGUUGAUCCAGGUCUUUGUAAUUGUACUGGUAAAUACAGUAUUUACAUGCCCUCUGUAAUGGCCUGGGAGGAAGGACAAUAUUUCACGAUACACUGAAGCACAUGAGCCACCUCCUCUCCUACCACAGGGUGGUGACAAAACCCCUUGAAUGAAAUGUCCUGCCCUGAACAUUGUCCUAUACACUGAGUGUACAACAAAAUGAAGAACACCUUCUCUUUCCAUGACAUAGACUGACCAGGUGAAUCCAGGUGAAAGCUACCAUCCCUCAUUGAUGUCACCUGUUAAAUCCACUUCAAUCAGUGUAGAUGAAGGGGAGGAGACGGGUUAAAGUUGGAUAUUUAAGCCUUGAGACAAUUGAGACAUGGAUUGUGUACGUGUGCCAUUCAGAAGGUGAACGGGCAAGACAAAAUAUUUAAGUGCCUUUUGAACGGGGUACGGUAGUAGGUGACAGGCACACCGGCCUGGUUGACGACGAUGAUGAAGAGGCAGAUGAUACCAAGGGCGAUGAUGAUGGUGAUGAGGUAGUGGAGGCUGAAGACUUCCUGGACAUUGCUGUGUUUUAUUCCUAAAGGAUGCUGGGAUCACAGUGGCGUCAGCAGACCGGGUCGUUGCCAGACCUCGGCCCACUAAGGACACAGAUGACAAACUGAGUGAGGCUUGUGGUGGAGGAGAACGGAGUGAACGGAGAGGGGGACACGGAGGAGGACACGGAGGACGUAUCCUGUAGACGAGAACCUGUUCACUGGAGAUUAUCUGGACGAGGUAGAGGAGGAGCUCGACACGCUGGAUCUGGACCAAUAAGACAAGGGCUGAAGUUAACUGAAUCGGCUCGUUUUUGAAUUGAAUCAAAUAGAAAUCGGCUCGUUUUUGAAUUGAAUCAAAUAGAAAUCGGCUCGUUUUUUAAUUGAAUCAAAUAGAAAUCGGCUCGUUUUGAAUCGAAUCAACUUAUUUGUGUUGAAUUGUCUCUUGAGUUUGGGCGGCUCACUCCAUGGACAAAAGGCUUAAAAGUGAAUGAUGAUGUUGCACAAUUAACAAUAACAACCUCGCCCUGGGAAUCUCACAGCCCUCUUUGUUCCUCGGCCUACCAAAAGACAAAGAUCCUUUUCUCCAGCAGAACAAUCAGAGGAGUAAAUGUUGACCACUUUACAAACUCUUUUCCUCCUUUUAAAAAUGCAUUUCUUAUUUUAAAAUGUCUGACUGUCUGCCACUCAGAAAUCAGAGAUUAUCAUUCUUGUGGGGCGGCAGGGUAGCCUAGUGGUUAGAGCGUUGGACUAGUAACCAGAAGGUUGCAAGUUCAAACCCCCGAGCUGACAAGGUACAAAUCUGUUGUUCUGCCCCUGAAUAGGCAUUUAACCCACUGUUCCUAGGCCGUCAUUGAAAAUAAGAAUUUGUUCUUAACUGACUUGCCUAGUUAAAUAAAGGUAAAAUAAAAUAAAAAUUUGAUGUGCUAAUCUGCCCUGUCUUUUCCUUCAUAUGGCUUUAAUUUAAACCUGAUCAGAAGUCAGUGGGAAUGUUUUCAAAAUGAAAUAUUUAUUGGGUUGGUUAUAUUGAUUUUGAGUAUAUUUCUUUCUUUU